This is a long non-coding RNA of Helianthus annuus (common sunflower), 2886 nucleotides long. RefSeq lists it as uncharacterized. NCBI's taxonomy places the organism in Eukaryota, Viridiplantae, Streptophyta, Magnoliopsida, Asterales, Asteraceae. The record is from RefSeq and is a predicted model, not a curated record. The transcript has 10 exons.
CUCUUGAUUUCUUUGAUGUGAAACCCGACGCGGGAUCCGAAUAAGUAAUUCGGGUCACUUAUUGUUCCUUCCAUCAUACGUCUCUUCUCGAUCUCUAAUCUUCAUUCACAUCCUAGGGUUUCUGCAACUUUAUUCGCACCUAUCCUUCUCAUCCAAUCGCAUCCAUUCGCACUUCAUUCUGCCGAUGUCUUCCAAAACCUAAUGGAUCCUUCAGUCGUUCAAUCUGUCGUUCCAUCCAAGCCUAUAAAAUCCAAUGUUCCAUCAGGUUAAUCUAUUCAGCACACAUCACUAGCAGGUACGAUUCCUUAUUUUCCUCACAAAACCUAAUCCAAAAAAUUAUCCUCUGUCUGAAAUGGCGCUGCCAAAAUCUUAUCAAGAUGGAUUGAGAUUGCUUAGCGAACAAAACCUAAUUCAGAGCUAUGGAAGAUCUCUGAUUUUUCUAGCAGGUUCAUAACCUACCAGAACCACUGUGGCAUAAAUUGAAUGCAUCACAUUUCUCUACUCCACACUAUCUCAAAACUUGAAUCUCGAUUACUUGGUUCAACACUACGGCUGGUUGGGAAGUUCAUUUUGUAGCAAUUUGUGUGAUCCGUGACCCAUGUCCUUCUCUGAAUGGGAGCACGUUUCUGAUUGCGAAAUUGUGCAAAAAAAGGAUUACUUUUGAUCAAUUUGAGAAUAUAACAGUUAAUUUGAAGCCUAAAUUGAGCAUUCAUGAAAAAGUAUGAGCAAGGCGCAACAAAUUGUAUAAGAGUUGAGGGACUACUUGAACAGCGAGAUGGAAUUGAAAUUGUUGGAUUGGAUAAAACAGCAACGCAAUUAGGUCACGUUACGCACACCAUUCAAUUUUGCUAUAGAGAUCCCUGUAUUCUAGCUAAUGGGAGCUUUUUACAUGGAUAAUAAACCUAUCCUUAAAGAGUUAAAGUUGAUAGAAAAGUUUGCAUUUUUAUGGAAAAUUGCUUUGGUUAACUUUCUUCAUAAAAUGAGCAAGGGGAAGAGUUGUUUUUUUGUCAAUAGCAAAGAGAUUGUUGAUUUAUGCUAGAGAUUGUUGAUUUAUGCUCUUGCAGGUAUGUGUUUCUUUUUUCUUUAUUUAAUUCACAUACAUGCUUUCUUGAUGCAGUUCUCAACUUUAGGCCUUAUUGAAACACAUGGAUUUGUUAGAGACAGAGUAUAGACCAUAGAACCUGGCCCCUACAUUUCUACGUAAUGCCAAUGCCAAUUUUUAUUGAUUUGUUACUUAAACCCUCUGGAGAGGAUUUAAUGAAUUGGCCCCAUAGGUAUAUCUUAUCCAAGUAUGCUCAAAUUCUUUCUAGAAAUGAUCUCCAAGUUUUUGUUUUUAUUUUUUAUGUAAGCUUGGGAUUUAAGGGGAACUUGGCUAUUUACCAAAGUCUCUAUUGGAGCGAUCAAGAAUUGGAUGACUCAAAUCUAAGAACCAAGAAUCAAGAAGUUUUUUGUACUUAAAAGGACAAGAAUCUGAGUUUCAAUAAGCUAACGUCAUUUGGCAAUGAUCUAGAUGGCUUAAUUAGCCUUAAAAUUAUGUAAGUUUUGUCUCAAUCAUAUUAUGAGGAUGGUUGUAAAGCGUUUUGCAUUAUUUUUAUCUUAAGUAUUAGUCUCAAUACUUUUCCAAAUAUGGGUAAUCUUUCAAUGCACAAAUACAUCCUCAUAAAGGUGGAAAAAUGAACGAGUCGGUCAAAAGAAUAAUUUUAGAUGUGGUUCAAAAUGAUCAGGUUUGAGUUGGGCCAACAUACAAACACUUUGUUAAAUUCUUUUCUCUAAAAAUUUAGAAUAUUAUUUUUUUUUUAUAAAGAUUUGAGUGUAAUAUAGGUUAAAAAGGGUAAUUUUAAAUGUGGGUCAAAACUAUACUCUUUCAGCUUUUUUUAGGGGUGUGAAUUUCUUACACAACCUGAAAACACGACACGAACACGAAUUUUUUUGGGUUUGGGUUUACCCUAAAUGGGUUCGGGUCAUUUUCAGGUCGAACCCGCGAACCCGUUUAGCUUAACAGGUCAGGUUCGGGUUCGCGGGUUGAUCCGUUUAGUUUAUAAAUGUAAAAAUAUGAUGGAUUAUGUGAAGGGUCACACGGGAUCCGUUUACAUCCAUCCGGGUCAAAUGGGUUUUCGUAUAUAAACAAACAACCCGGCCAUUUUCUUUCCCUAUUCUUCAUAUUCUCACAGACGCCAAGGGCGAUUAGGGUUUUAUCAUUCUUUUCCAAUCAAACAAUCCAAGAUCCAAGGUAUAUGUUCAUCGAAUAAUAUUCGGAUUUCCUGUUAAUUUCUUCGAUUUAUUUGUAAUAAACAACUUCAUCUCAUCGUUCUUUUCUUCGAUCUUUGUUUAUAUAUCAUCUGAUAUGCUAUUUUGAUGUAAUCUGUGUUUGUAGGUUUUUAAUAUGACACAAAAUCCAUCAAGGUCAGGAUCAUGACCGGAGAAACAAGAACCUACAAGUGGAUGUCAAAUAAGUAACAAUACAUAGGCCUAAUCCACCUAAAAAUCAACCUAAUUCAAUCAGUCUAGACGGAGAGAAACGCCAGGAUUUCCAAAAAGGUUAAGAGAUCGACCAAUGUUAUUGUGGAAGAGAUUGUCGCGAGAUCUUUUGGCUGGAUAAAGAACAGAUGCUAGCAGUCUAAUCUAAUAUCUGUUGGGAUAUUUGUGUCAAGCCGUCUUUUUCUGUAUAUCAGCUUGCUAGGCCUUGUGGUUUAAUAUAGUUAUUUUGUUUGCUGGAAAAAAACAAGACUAGAGAGGUAGAUGUUUUUUAUUACUUUUAUCUUUGACUUAAAAGGAGCAACACUAAAAGGUCUUUGAAUCUCAUGAAUGUUAGAAGGUUUUGACUAAUUAUAUGUCAAACCAGAAAAAAGUAUUUUUUUUCAUUUAUUUAUCUUUUCGAUUUUGUUA